GAUCAUGGCUCAGGAUGAACGCUAGCUACAGGCUUAACACAUGCAAGUCGAGGGGCAUCAGUUUGGUUUUGCUUGCAAACCAAAGCUGGCGACCGGCGCACGGGUGAGUAACACGUAUCCAACCUGCCUCAUACUCGGGGAUAGCCUUUCGAAAGAAAGAUUAAUAUCCGAUAGCAUAUAUUUCCCGCAUGGGUUUUAUAUUAAAGAAAUUCGGUAUGAGAUGGGGAUGCGUUCCAUUAGUUUGGG
This 246-nucleotide ribosomal RNA is filed under the name uncultured bacterium. RNAcentral describes it as "partial 16S ribosomal RNA". It matches the Rfam family "Bacterial small subunit ribosomal RNA", at positions 15 to 250 of the family's 1533-position model. The record is from RNAcentral.